GUUUUAAUUUCGGGUGGAAGGCUGGUUAAACCGUUUGGUUUACGACCACUACGACCCGGGUUCGAUCCCCGCAUUGGACA
Cordylochernes scorpioides is the source of this 80-nucleotide non-coding RNA. The record is from the annotation of a GenBank genome assembly. Lineage: Eukaryota; Metazoa; Arthropoda; Arachnida; Pseudoscorpiones; Chernetidae.